This 253-nucleotide ribosomal RNA is filed under the name uncultured Rikenellaceae bacterium. Its description in RNAcentral is "partial 16S ribosomal RNA". It matches the Rfam family "Bacterial small subunit ribosomal RNA", at positions 524 to 776 of the family's 1533-position model. Lineage: Bacteria; Pseudomonadati; Bacteroidota; Bacteroidia; Bacteroidales; Rikenellaceae. The record is from RNAcentral.
UACGGAGGAUGCGAGCGUUAUCCGGAUUUAUUGGGUUUAAAGGGUGCGUAGGCGGUUUUAUAAGUUAGAGGUGAAAUCUCGGGGCUCAACUCCGAAAUUGCCUCUAAUACUGUAGGACUAGAGAGUAGUUGCGGUAGGCGGAAUGUAUGGUGUAGCGGUGAAAUGCGUAGAUAUUAGGAGGAACACCAGUGGCGAAGGCGGCUUACUGGACGAUGACUGACGCUGAGGCUCGAAAGCGUGGGGAGCAAACAGG